RNAcentral lists this long non-coding RNA (471 nucleotides) under Bos indicus x Bos taurus (hybrid cattle). Its description in RNAcentral is "lncRNA (ENSBIXG00000026322.1)". The record is from RNAcentral. Lineage: Eukaryota; Metazoa; Chordata; Mammalia; Artiodactyla; Bovidae.
AUGUGUUCAUAUUCCUCAUGCUGGUAUAUAUGCUAUCCUCAAAACUUCAUGCCAACCAGCCAUUUGAUACCCUCCAAACACCUUGGAGAGUCAAGACAUCUUUAUUUGCUUAGAAAGAAUAUGGGAAAAUACACCAACCCCUGUACUGAGAAUUUACCAUCUACCAGAAGUACAUUGUAUUCUAUUGAGGGUGACCUGCAGGCCUUUCUGGAAGAGAAGGUAGAAGACAAGGGAAAACAAGAAUUUAUUAGUUAUGCAAAGAAUCCUUUCCUCCAAGGAUGAACAUUCUACAGGCAGGAGAAAAGAAUCCAUGGGGACCUGGGCAGAUUGAAACAGCUGUACACUGAGGAGGUUCAUGCUGGGAGAAGACAUUUCCUUUAAAGUGUUUCUGCAUCUUCAAAGCACAACAUUGAAAAAGGCCAAAUGAUGUUCCCUCUGCUGAAUAAAGCUGGGACAGCUGCUUUAACCUCA